CGGGAACUGAACUCAGGACCUUGCACUUGCCAGGCAGGCACUAUACCACUGAGCUAUAUCCCUGGCAGCCUUGGGAUUUCAGCACAUGAUAGGAUGGCUGCUGUCACCCCAGCGAAGGGAAGGGGUUCACCCCAUGCCCGGUGAAUGCUCGCCACCACUCCCCUGCCCUUCUCCCGGGAGAUCCAGAUACGUCAGGCUGCAGGGAGUUUGAACCUGAAAUGAGCCAGAUAAUUGCCCCAAUUCUCUGAUCCUUAUUGAAGAGGUAGUUACAGGCCCAGGGGUUCAAGGGGCCUCACUUUUAUGGACAUCGGUCUAAGUCAAAAGAAUACAUUACACACAGGCAGGCUGACUCACACCCCUAACCCUGACUGGGGCUCUGAGAACAAAGCGGGCCUCCUCCCCCUCUUGCCCUCCC
Molecule: long non-coding RNA, 415 nt
Filed under: Chinchilla lanigera (long-tailed chinchilla)
Lineage: Eukaryota; Metazoa; Chordata; Mammalia; Rodentia; Chinchillidae
Description: lncRNA (ENSCLAG00000028272.1)
Source: RNAcentral